This 2691-nucleotide ribosomal RNA is filed under the name Triticum aestivum (bread wheat). RNAcentral describes it as "partial small subunit ribosomal RNA". Lineage: Eukaryota; Viridiplantae; Streptophyta; Magnoliopsida; Poales; Poaceae. The record is from RNAcentral.
AUGGAGUGCAACAGAGAAGAGGCGUUGAGGGCCAGAGAAAUAGCUGCAAAAAUGCUGGAAAGCAAAGACUUUCUUGGGGCUAGAAGGAUUGCACUUAAAGCUCAAAGGCUUUUUCCAGGGUUUGAGAACAUACACCAGCUGUUAACUGUCUGUGAAGUGCAAUGUGCAGCAGUUGCAAAAAUUAAUGAAGACUUAGAUUGGUAUGGUAUUCUCCAGGUGGAGGCAACAGCAGAUGAGACAGUCAUAACAAAGCAAUAUGAGAAACUUGCCUUUUGGCUCCAUCCUGAUAAAAACACACUCUCUGGUGCUGAAGUUGCUCUGAAGUUGGUCUCAGAAGCUCGCAAGAUACUGUGUGAUCGCACGGAGCGGUCUUUGUAUGACGUCAGAAGGCAGUAUGCUUCCAAACAUGUGACAAGCAAAGCUACACAGCUACCAAAUAAGACUGGUGGAAAUGAAAGUCAUGUGGAUGGAUGCAAACAACCACCUGCUUUUGUACUGGUGUUCUGGACUAUAUGCCCGCAUUGUCGGAGGCGAUUCGUGUACUACAAAAAGAACUUUUUGGUCACCUGUGACCACUGUGGUAAAUUGUUCUUUGCAUUCAAGCUGCAUGAACAGACAAUGCCCUCGAGUUUCCUAUCUCAUUCAGCAAAUAAUGCUGAAGUUUCACCUGGGAAGAUUUCAUGUCAACAACAUGGCGUCACCAAUCAACAGGCCCAGACAGGGGGGAACAUUUACUCUGAACCUACCAUGAAUGCUACUCAAAUUGAUGAACAUAGAGAAAGGAUUGACAGGGCAAGCGGUGAUGAGGAAGGUAACUGUUCAGAGACAAGAAGCGAUGUAGUUCAGCUUUCAGCAAUGAACCAAGCUAAAUCUUCUGCGCCUGCUGCAGGCAAGGAAUCAGUUAGCAAUUUGACAUCAGCUCAUCCUGAUCCGAACUUCAUUUCCGCACAGAACUUUAGAAGUGAAGAUGCAUCUCUAGUGCCAAAUAUUGCAAGGUCCUCCAGCCUUCAGAAAUUAGGUAAGAGAAAGCAAGAUGAUGGCCCAGACUGCAGCCACGGCACAGACUCCUCUAAUUAUAAGAUGCAAAGGAACCAUGACUCACCAUCUAGUGCUUCUGAGCAAAUGUUUAAUGACAAUGCUGCUGUUGCUGAGAAUCAGUCUGCUGAGCAUCAUGCCUUAAGUAGAGUGGAUAGCCAAGGUGGAGUAACUGCAAGUCGUGAAGCCAAUCAGCAAAGUUACAAGGAAGCAAGUGGUAGUGCUCCUCAGAAGCUUGGCAGUCCUGUGAUUACCUAUCAUCAUCCUGACUUUUUUGACUUUGGCAAGAUCAGAGAUAUAAACCUGAUUGCAGUUGAUCAAAUCUGGGCCCUUUAUGAUAACCUUGAUGGCAUGCCAAGAGAUUAUGCUCAGGUAAAGCACAUUGAUACUUCUGAAUUAAGAGUUCAGCUGACAUGGCUGGAGUACAAUCCAAGGAAUGAGCAAGAAGCCAAUUGGAAUAAUAAGGAAUUGCCUGUAUCUUGCGGAAGCUUCUGCUUAGGAGGAGAAACAACAACCCUAUUACAAGAUCCAUCCACAUACCUGUCUCACAGAGUUCCAUUGACAAGAGGCAAAAAUGGGAACUCCUACCAAAUAAAUCCUAAUAAGGGUGAGGUAUGGGCUCUUUAUAAAAGAUGGAGCAUGCAAUGGAGCUCCGAUGCAGAUAAAUGUCGAUCCUAUGGAUAUGAUGUCGUGGAAGUUAUCUCUGAUGGCUCAACGAAUGGCGAUGUCAUUGUUUCGCCGCUAAUGAGGAUUGAAGGCUUUGUUAGUCUUUUUGCACACGCUAAGGACAAACGCUACUUUUCGAUACCAUCAAGUGAGCUACUGAGAUUUUCGCACUGUAUCCCCUUUUAUAGAACACAUGGAAAUGAAAGGGUGGGCGUUGCAGAAGGACUUCUGGAACUGGAUACAGCAGCUCUUCCAAGUGACCUGGAAACAGCAUUUCCUUCCAUUACUCUCGACUCCUACAUGUCUUCGGAACUCAUUUCUUAUCCAUAUCCAGAAUCUGAAUUCCACAACUUCGAAGAAGACCGGUCAUGUGAGAAGUUUGAAAGUGGCCAAAUUUGGGCUAUCUACAAUGACACUGAUACAUUCCCGAAUGUGUAUGGUUGGGUGAGCAAAGUUGAGAUACAACCGUUCGAAGUGCAUUUGACCUGGCUCCAGGCCUGCCCUCAACAGGCGCAGGGGAAGCUGUGGUUGGGGCAGAAUGUACCUGUGAGCUGUGGCAAAUUUAAAAUACGAAGCUGGCAAGCCAAGUAUGGUAGAAACCACCCCUUCUCUCAUUUGGUAGAAAAUAGCCAAAUCGAUAUGAACUGGCAGGUUAAAAUUCUUCCAAAAGUCGGUGAAGUUUGGGCCAUCUACAAGAACUGGUCACCUGAUUGGGUUCCUUCCAGCAACAAGCACACUACUGAUUAUGCUAUCGGGGAGAUCGUCGAGUGCAGUAAACGAAGCACAUUAUUUUCUUUUCUGACUAAAGUUGAUGGCUAUGUCGCUGUGUUCAAGCCUGACCUUACCAAGGGAGUACUGAAAAUACCUAGGAAAGAGAACCUGAGGUUUUCUCACCGAAUUCCAUCAUUCCGUCUCACAAAGGAGGAAGGCGGCAAGCUCCGGGACUUCUACGAGCUCGACCCAGCUUCUGUCCCUGGCGAUUUUCUAUAG